CUACGGGGGGCUCCAGUGAGGAAUAUUGCACAAUGGGGGGAACCCUGAUGCAGCAACGCCGCGUGGAGGAUGACGCAUUUCGGUGUGUAAACUCCUUUUAUAUGUCAAGAAAAUGACGGUAGCAUAUGAAUAAGCACCGGCUAACUCCGUGCCAGCAGCCGCGGUAAUACGUGAGGGUGCAAGCGUUACUCGGAAUCACUGGGCGUAAAGGAUGCGUAGGCGGGUUGGAAAGUCAGGUGUGAAAUCCUACAGCUUAACUGUAGAACUGCACUUGAAACUUCUAAUCUAGAGUAUGGGAGGGGGAGAUGGAAUUAGUGGCGUAGGGGUAAAAUCCGUAGAUAUCACUAGGAAUACCUAAAGCGAAGGCGAUCUCCUGGAACAUUACUGACGCUAAGGCGUGAAAGCGUGGGGAGCAAACAGGAUUAGAUACCCGAGUAGUC
Molecule: ribosomal RNA, 440 nt
Filed under: uncultured bacterium
Lineage: Bacteria
Description: partial 16S ribosomal RNA
Rfam family: Bacterial small subunit ribosomal RNA
Source: RNAcentral